UGCGUACGAGAUGCUACGGCAUCGAAGCAGUCUAUGUCAUACUUCCAAGAAAAGCUUGCAAUGUCAUAAACAAAUAAUGCCUGUACCAUAACCGACACAGGUGGGUAGGUAGAGUAUACUAAGGGGCGCGAGAUAACUCUCUCUAAGGAACUCGGCAAAAUGACUCCGUAACUUCGGGAGAAGGAGUGCCUUAUUUUUAUAAGGUUGCAAUAACAAGAUCCAAGCAACUGUUUACCAAAAACACAGGUCUCCGCUAAGUCGUAAGACGAUGUAUGGGGGCUGACGCCUGCCCAGUGCCAGAAGGUUAAAGAAGUUGGUUAGCAUUAGCGAAGCUGAUAACUGAAGCCCUGGUGAACGGCGGCCGUAACAAUAACGGUCCUAAGGUAGCGAAAUUCCUUGUCGGGUAAGUUCCGACCCGCACGAAAGGCGUAAUGAUUUGGAUACUGUCUCGGAGAGGGGCUCGGUGAAAUAGACUUGUCUGUGAAGAUGCGGACUACCUGCACCUGGACAGAAAGACCCUAUGAAGCUUUACUGUAACUUGAGAUUGAAAUUGGACUUUAUCUGCGCAGUAUAGGUGGGAGACGUUGAAAAUAUUCUUGCGGGAAUAUUGGAGUCAUCAGUGAGAUACCACUCUUAUAAUGUUAGAUUUCUAACUUUGUAUCAUUAUCUGGUCAAAGAACAGUUUCAGGCGGGCAGUUUGACUGGGGCGGUCGCCUCCCAAACGGUAACGGAGGCGCACAAAGGUUUCCUCUGAACGUGUAGAAAUCGUAUCUAGAGUGUAAAGGCAUAAGGAAGCUUGACUGUGAGACCUACAAGGCGAGCAGGGACGAAAGUCGGUCUUAGUGAUCUGACGGUGCUGAGUGGAAAGGCCGUCACUCAACGGAUAAAAGUUACUCUAGGAUAACAGGCUGAUCUCCCCCAAGAGUUCACAUCGACGGGGAGGUUUGGCACCUCGAUGUCGGCUCAUCGCAUCCUGGGGCGGUAGUACGUCCCAAGGGUUGGGCUGUUCGCCCAUGAAAGCGGUACGCGAGCUGGGUUCAGAACGUCGUGAGACAGUUCGGUCCAUAUCCGGUGUAGGCGUUAGAAUAUUGAGAGGAGCCUUCUUUAGUACGAGAGGACCGAGAAGGACAUACCUCUGGUGUACCAGUUAUCGUGCCAACGGUAAACGCUGGGUAGCCAUGUAUGGAGAGGAUAACCGCUGAAAGCAUCUAAGUGGGAAGCCCACCUCAAGAUAAGUAUUCUCAU
This 1245-nucleotide ribosomal RNA is filed under the name metagenome. RNAcentral's name for it is "bacterial LSU rRNA". It matches the Rfam family "Bacterial large subunit ribosomal RNA", at positions 1564 to 2817 of the family's 2925-position model. The record is from RNAcentral.